AUGGACGACGCUCGCCGGGGCGUGUGCGGCGGAGACGGCUUCUGCCGCGCGUCGAGGUGGAGCAGCAGAGGACGGGAAGGCAAGAAGGCAAGGUGGGUACGCUGUGCACCAGGGCCGCCUUCGUCCUCCACCUCCUCCAAAAGCACGCGCUCGCCGCGGGCGGUGGCAGUGGCACGAUGGUCCUCGCCCUUGGGUGCGCGGGUGCGCGGACGCGUUGGGGAUCGAGGAAGCUCUCCUCCCUCGCGGCUGGAGGUGCUCGGGAUCGAGCGAGUGGGCGAGGGGAUCGGGGCCCCUGCUGGCUGCCUGCUUGGCGAUUGCACGCGAUGCUGGGCUGGCCGACUCGAUCUCCUCGACCCAGGGCCCCGUGCUCGUCAGCGCCGGCCCCAUCGCGCACGACUUCUCUGA
This 405-nucleotide ribosomal RNA is filed under the name Triticum aestivum (bread wheat). RNAcentral's name for it is "partial small subunit ribosomal RNA". Lineage: Eukaryota; Viridiplantae; Streptophyta; Magnoliopsida; Poales; Poaceae. The record is from RNAcentral.